Molecule: ribosomal RNA, 253 nt
Filed under: uncultured bacterium
Lineage: Bacteria
Description: partial 16S ribosomal RNA
Rfam family: Bacterial small subunit ribosomal RNA
Source: RNAcentral
GACAGGGGUCUCGAGCGUUAAUCGGAAUCACUGGGCUUAAAGGGUGCGUAGGUGGGCAAGUAAGUCAGUGGUGAAAUCUCCGGGCUUAACCCGGAAACUGCCAUUGAUACUAUUUGUCUUGAAUACUGUUGAGGUCAGCGGAAUAUGUCAUGUAGCGGUGAAAUGCUUAGAUAUGACAUAGAACACCAAUUGCGAAGGCAGCUGGCUACACAAAUAUUGACACUGAGGCACGAAAGCGUGGGGAUCAAACAGG